UUCAAUCCGAUUCGCCAAAACCAGAGCUUGGACUCUCCUAUCUGCUUUCCUCUUCUAUUGAUCAAACAUGGUGUCGGCACACCGGAAACCACCCGGAUCAGGACUUUUCGCAUUUCCACGAUUUCUACAUGAGCGGCGGCGGAUAGCAAUCUGCUUCCGGGUUUGGAUGAUCCGAAAGCCUUACACGAUCACCAAGUCAAGAGAGAGCUGGAGUGAUCAAGAGCAUGAUAAAUUUGUCGAAGCGCUUCAGUUAUUUGACCGUGACUGGAAAAAGAUUGAAGCAUUUAUUGGGUCAAAGACAGUUAUCCAGAUACGUAGCCAUGCCCAAAAGUAUUUUCUGAAAGUCCAGAAGAAUGGUACAAGCGAGCAUGUGCCUCCUCCGCGUCCAAAGAGAAAAGCUUCUCAUCCUUAUCCGCAGAGGGCCUCGAAAAAUGUUCUACCUCGAACAGCAGGUCCUGUACAAUCUUCUGUUGCUAGAGUGGAGACUGGAUACGCUGUAAGGCGCAAUCCGUUUUCAACUCCCAGAAAUCCUAUCAGUGGUUCACCAUUGUCUUCUUGGAAUUACAAUGUUGUGCCAGCAGGAUGUUUGUCAAAUGUUGCAAAAGAUGAUGUCAGAUUAGCCAGUGCUGCCAAUAAUUAUUGCACCAGCAGCAAUGAUAGCACUCUGUGUCUGUGGAAAUCUAAUGAGAUGGAUCAUGAAUUGAAAGCGACAUUGUGCACCACAAAGAGAGUUAUGCCGGAUUUCGCUCAAGUUUAUGGUUUCAUUGGCAGCGUCUUCGAUCCUACCACAACCGAUCAAUUGCAAAGGCUGAGGAAAAUGGAGCCUAUAAAUGUUGAGACGGUACUGAUGUUGAUGAAGAACCUCUGCGUCAAUUUGGUGACCCCUGAAUUUGAGAAUCAUAGAAAGUUGCUCUCUUCAUAUAAAAUAGCAACUGAAAAUGUCCGUGCUGGGAGUGAGAUCCCGUCUGCAUAGAGUCCUCAAAAGGCAUUAUCUGAAGAACCUUCAGAGCUUGUUAUGUUCCAAGGGCAAAAUGGGUGUUUUGGAUGACUGGCAACUACAGCUCUCAUGCGGACAGUCACUAUGAUCCUAGUGCGUUAUGGGAAAUAAAGGGGAUCAACAACAGGGACGUGAUGGCGAAGAAGGCCAAGAAGAAUCUGUGCCGUGCAGUGCGGUUGAGAGGCUCACGAGUGUAGUCUGCUACCCGAUAAGGGACUUUCCCACAGAUACUUUACCUAUUGAUGAUCUAGAAGAACUCCUUGUAGAACUCUAGUUCUUAAAGACUGUGAUCUAAUUAAAUGAAACAAGCAAUGCACAUAUGCACGAUGAUGUUAUUCA
Molecule: non-coding RNA, 1336 nt
Organism: Salvia hispanica
Lineage: Eukaryota; Viridiplantae; Streptophyta; Magnoliopsida; Lamiales; Lamiaceae
Source: RefSeq, a predicted model, not a curated record